Molecule: long non-coding RNA, 1590 nt
Organism: Alnus glutinosa
Lineage: Eukaryota; Viridiplantae; Streptophyta; Magnoliopsida; Fagales; Betulaceae
Exons: 2
Source: RefSeq, a predicted model, not a curated record
UGAGAUCCCCGGCAAUUUCAAAGAAAUUGCCCAGCCACAAUUUCUCCAAUCCAAGCCGUCCAAUUCAAUCCAUUUAAAAUAACGGCUAUUAAGAUGCCACCUCAUCGAUCCGCGUCAAAUCUCAGAAGAAACAUCUUCUCCCUCCCCAAAUGGCAAAUACGAAAAAUUCGCUUGAUGCCAUGGAGACAAGGUUUUAGGCAGAAAAUUUUGGGACGAUACCUGUACCUUUCCCGGAAAAAGUCGCCUGAUACCUGUACCUUUGCCCGGCGAUUUCCUCAACCUCCUGGGACCGCGUUUUUUGCGAGGUUCCGGUGCCCCCAGUUCCAGAUCUGGACUCGCCUGGACGUUCUUCUCUCCUCCAACUCGACCUCUCUCCAUGGCUGCUUCAUCCUCUGCUCAACCAACCACAAACCCGCAGGUCUCUAUUUUUUUUGUUGAUUUUUAUUUUGGUUAUAGUUCAUGGGUUGUUUGUCUGAUUUGUGGGUUGUUCUGGGUUUGCUUUUCUCCCGAACCCUUUGUUUGGUUACCGAGAAAAUGAAAGGAAACCAAAAGAUUCAAAAUUGUGGUUUCAGAUGUUAAUGUAUUCAGAUUUUUUUAUUUUUUUAUUUUUUUCAGUUCAUGUAUUCAGAUGUUCCUACAGAGUUUUAUGUUUUCUUUUUUGAAAUAUUAUUGUUUUAAGUUUUGUGAUGAUGGUUGCGAUGGACGCCAUUGAGUAUUAUGUUUUUGCCCAAAUGGCAUGUGUAGGCAUCUCUGAUUCUCAAUGUCAUCUUGUAUUUAUUCUUUUUUUUUUUUUUUUCCUUUGUACCAAAAAUUGGUACUGCGGGCAUGAUUAACUGAACCAUAGAUAGAUAACAACCAAAUCAUUAUCUACUUCUAAGAUUUGAUAAAACAUCUGUCAAAAUGGAAUCAUGAAACAUUGGUUGAGCUUGUGUUUUUUUUCUAAACCACAAGAUUUAAAAUUGUGGUUUCUCAGGGUUGUUCUCAAAAAAAAAAAUUAUCAAAAAAGAUUUGUGGAUUUUCUGGGUUUGCUUGUCUCUGUUGGUUUGGCUAUUCUUUGUUAUCCUCCUGGUUUCUCUGUUUGGUUGAUUUUGCUGUUGGUGUCCAUGUCGUUGAUUUUACUGUUUGGGUGCUCAUGGAAUUCUCAUGGAAUGUAUGACAAGGUCGAAUUUUGUAGUGUUUAUUUGUUAUUUUUUCCCUUUUCUAUAGACUGUAUUCUUCAAGUCGUCUCUUUGUAGCAGAGACAUGUUAGUAACAGAGGCUUUGCGCCUACAAAUUGAAAUUCAAAAGCAGCUCCAUGAACAACUCAAGGUGGGCCCAAGAAAAUCAAGGGAGAAUGCGUUUCUGUAAAGUGGAAAUUGCAAGAAGUUGUUGGUUCAGUGCUGUUGCUGUCCUUUCAGAUAAUUGACUGUUUGGUUGGUUUAGUUUUGUUGGUUUCUCCAUUGUGAGUUGUAUAGAGGUAGCAAAUUGUAUAGAUAGCCAAAAGUAGAGAAUUGUAUUUUUUUUUAUGUUAUUUUGGCUUUGUUUGCCAAUUUGUAGCCUUUUGGCAUAAAAUUCUCUUAUUUGGUUAAUAAAAUUCAUUCAUCCAAAAAA